GCCACGUAGUGAUAACACUCUAUAUAAACGCGGGCAACUUAAAUCCGGUCCGCGUCUUACGACUAGAGUCCCGUUCUGAUAAGAGCAAUGUUUCUACGAAGAGACUGCCAUUUUUCUACGAUCGGAAACGUUCACGCAACGAAAUGUGAGUGACGACGAAAGAAAUUUCAUGAAACUGAAAAUUAAAAAUUAACCGACGAUUAAUGUACGUUCCUGCUUUGGGUUAAUGGAGCGCAACCUAUGGAAGGGAACGUGAUGACACGCUGCCAACCGAAGAUGGAGGUUUCUUAAGCCCAGGAUUAGAAGACCGUCUAAAAUCCAAGCGCUCUUGUCCUCAUCUCAGAUCGAUCAAAUCAUUGACGUGAGCUCCUUGAAGAGCUUUAAACUUGGCGCAUUAGAUUCCACCAACGCGCACGGAAGCUGUUUCAAUCACGCGCUGCAACAAAUCUGUGGAGAUUUGAAACUGUGAUUCUACAUGACGACAGAAUUGCCGAUGACAGAAAAGAAAACAUAGAGAAUCGCUCGAUUGCCCUUAAUUUCGGAUAAUCAAAGAUUCGUCUGCUGAGAACAGAUUUAUUCUAUGUCUUGCGAAUUUCUGAAAAGCGGGUUGUCGCGGCGCAGAGGUUGCGGCAUAAACGAUGUGCUCGUCGAUGAAUUAAAGCGUAUACCUGGGCUGGUCGUUCGGACAAUCGAUAAUGCCGGGUCGUAAAACUUCGCGCGCUGCACGUAGCGUGUCUGAUACAUAAUGCAAUUCUAUCGAGAGAGUCGAUGUCUCGAGGUGUGAAGCGAAAAGCGCUGGGUCAUUCUUAGUGCCUGCCUCGAAACAGAUCUCGAGACGCCUCAUGUCAAUUACGACCCUAACUCGUACAUCGAUCUUGUGAAGUUGACUUGGAAUGCCUGACUCGAGCGUCGGAAGAACUGGGAACAAGGGCUAAUUGGGAAAUUAGAAACAAGUGUGUUACUCGAAAUAAGUGAUUGUAUGUGCUUACACGAGAGUGCUCCGCUCGAUAAAGUGCGGAUUUCCUUAAAUUUUUUUCUUUUUUUUUUUUUUGCGAACGAGGUCGAUUUUCGUGAUUGCGUGACGUCAUUGCGAAAACGAUUCGGAAUAGUGUCGGAUUUGGUAAAUAUUUGUCGAUACUUGAAAAUCGAGUAGUUUAACGCGUCACGGGGCAUCUCAUCGUGAUUCAAAGCCCGUUCGAUGUGAACCGAAAAAACGGUCUUUCUAUAUUGACACGCCAUAUCAAAUAGAGCCGAGUGUAAAGGCUCGGGGGAUACGUGCCAGAGUGCAUAAAUCGUGGUGUACGAGCAAUUAAGAAGUAAAUCGGAAAAGAGGUAAUUAACGUAGUAUCUAAAGUACGAAGACGCGCAUGCCUCACGGUAAUUAAUUACUUUCAAUGUGAGUUUAGAAAAGUCGGGCGAUCUCUUGGGUAUCAUUACACGGACUUGAAGAAUGGCACGUAACUCGUGAAUAAAAAAAACGUAUAGCGAGUAAAUUUCGAGGAUAGUCCUAAUUACUGAAGCGCACAACAAAGUUGCGUGAAAACUUUAGCGAGGUUACUGGAGAAAAGAAUUCUCUCGCGGGUAUACAGAAAAAUCUUGAAAAAUAUAAGAUCCAAGAGAACACGUGAGUCGCAAAGUCGUUCGUUUUAAAUCCACCGCGAAAAUCAACCUCGUUUCUCGACAAUUCUGGGCAAGCCCGAAUGCGGGCGGUGCCGUAUGUGCUUCGUUAAACUGACAAUAAUCGUCAACCGCGUGUCACGAACUUGUACGUGGGUAAGAGCGAGCGUUGGCAAAUGAAAUUCCGGCUGUGCACUUACGAUGACGUCGUUCCAUGAUUUCACCACUCGAGCAUCAAAAGCGUGAAAAUUCAACUGUUACAGUAUUGCGCAUUUUGCGAAGCAUUGCGAGAAGAAAAUUGUCACAAAGAGAAAAUGGAAGAAAUCUAAGAUUACAAAGGAGAUUAUUCAUGAGUGAUCUUGAAUGAAAAAAAAAAA
Molecule: long non-coding RNA, 1994 nt
Organism: Acromyrmex echinatior (Panamanian leafcutter ant)
Lineage: Eukaryota; Metazoa; Arthropoda; Insecta; Hymenoptera; Formicidae
Source: RefSeq, a predicted model, not a curated record